This 403-nucleotide ribosomal RNA is filed under the name bacterium. Its description in RNAcentral is "partial 16S ribosomal RNA". It matches the Rfam family "Bacterial small subunit ribosomal RNA", at positions 355 to 776 of the family's 1533-position model. The record is from RNAcentral.
UGGGGAAUAUUGCACAAUGGAGGGAACUCUGAUGCAGCGACGCCGCGUGAACGAAGAAGGCUUUCGAGUCGUAAAGUUCUUUUAUAUGGGAAGAUAAUGACGGUACCAUAAGAAGAAGCCCCGGCUAACUACGUGCCAGCAGCCGCGGUAAUACGUAGGGGGCUAGCGUUGUCCGGAAUCACUGGGCGUAAAGGGUUCGCAGGCGGAAAUGCAAGUCAGGUGUAAAAGGCAGUAGCUUAACUACUGUAAGCAUUUGAAACUGCAUAGCUUGAGAAGAGUAGAGGUAAGUGGAAUUUUUAGUGUAGCGGUGAAAUGCGUAGAUAUUAAAAAGAAUACCGGUGGCGAAGGCGACUUACUGGGCUCAUUCUGACGCUGAGGAACGAAAGCGUGGGUAGCAAACAGG